This 888-nucleotide ribosomal RNA is filed under the name Curvicladiella cignea. RNAcentral's name for it is "eukaryotic LSU rRNA". It matches the Rfam family "Eukaryotic large subunit ribosomal RNA", at positions 58 to 978 of the family's 3401-position model. The record is from RNAcentral. Lineage: Eukaryota; Fungi; Ascomycota; Sordariomycetes; Hypocreales; Nectriaceae.
AAAGAAACCAACAGGGAUUGCCCUAGUAACGGCGAGUGAAGCGGCAACAGCUCAAAUUUGAAAUCUGGCCCUUGGGUCCGAGUUGUAAUUUGUAGAGGAUGCUUUUGGUGCGGUGCCUUCCGAGUUCCCUGGAACGGGACGCCAUAGAGGGUGAGAGCCCCGUCUGGUUGGAUGCCAAACCUCUGUAAAGCUCCUUCGACGAGUCGAGUAGUUUGGGAAUGCUGCUCUAAAUGGGAGGUAUAUGUCUUCUAAAGCUAAAUACCGGCCAGAGACCGAUAGCGCACAAGUAGAGUGAUCGAAAGAUGAAAAGCACUUUGAAAAGAGAGUUAAAAAGUACGUGAAAUUGUUGAAAGGGAAGCGCUCAUGACCAGACUUGGGCUUGGUUGAUCAUCCUGGGUUCUCCCUGGUGCACUCUUCCAGUUCAGGCCAGCAUCAGUUCGCUGCGGGGGAUAAAAGCUUCGGGAAUGUGGCUCCUCCGGGAGUGUUAUAGCCCGUUGCAUAAUACCCUGCUCCGGACUGAGGUUCGCGCAUCUGCAAGGAUGCUGGCGUAAUGGUCAUCAGCGACCCGUCUUGAAACACGGACCAAGGAGUCGUCUUCGUAUGCGAGUGUUCGGGUGUUAAACCCCUACGCGUAAUGAAAGUGAACGCAGGUGAGAGCUUCGGCGCAUCAUCGACCGAUCCUGAUGUUCUCGGAUGGAUUUGAGUAAGAGCAUACGGGGCCGGACCCGAAAGAAGGUGAACUAUGCCUGUAUAGGGUGAAGCCAGAGGAAACUCUGGUGGAGGCUCGCAGCGGUUCUGACGUGCAAAUCGAUCGUCAAAUAUGGGCAUGGGGGCGAAAGACUAAUCGAACCUUCUAGUAGCUGGUUUCCGCCGAAGUUUCCCUCAGGA